GAUUCUGGGGUGGGGCGGCAGCGGGAGCGCGCCCGCUUUUCCUAGGCCAGCGGGCGGUUGUCUGUGGCUCCGCGACUGGGCGCCCCGUCACGUAGGUUACACACACAAUCACUCCCCAGGGACGGCCCGGAGUCCGUCCAGGCAGCUGCGCCCUCCCCAGACCCGGGCACCGCGGAGGCUGGAGCCGCAAUGGUGCUGAUGGAGGGCGGGAGAUGGAGCUGACCAGGGGCCGGAGGGGCUGAGAAGAGCCUGCCCAAGUCUGGGCCAAGCACGAAGCCCUUUCCCACCCGUCGGGCUCCUGGGUUCCCGCCAGCCGAUUUCCAGCCGUCAGGGUCACGCCACUCGCUGGAAACCCUGAACUCUGUGCCCCCCAAGCCCUGGGCCCCCUGCGGGAAUGUUCAAAAAUGAGUACCAGGGAGGUGCAUUUGUUGAAAUUUUCAGUGCUCAAGGAAAAAAUCCUGGAGCAAAAUGGAAGAUCCUUGGUAGUCCAUCUGUGAUUUGGAAAGAGUUUGAUAAAGAAGUUAAAAGUUUUGUGUUUGUCCUGGAAGGCAGCAGCCAAACAAACAAAAUUCAGUUACCAAAGGAGAAUAAGCAAAGCCUUGGAUUGAUCCAGAGGUUUCUUGUACUUCAGAUUUACGUACCCCUGGGACAAGACUUCUCCACUGAAUUGCUAAUUACUGAUUUAGGGAACAUCAAAAGAAGAUUAUAUUUAUCAACGGUCCAUAAGGAACUAUCCUCCACCCCUCUUCAUGCAAAAAUUCCACUCUUCAUGAUCAAACGUAAAAUUUGGUGCAAUCUAUGCAUUGACUUAGUAGCAUUCACCAGUGAAAUAUUCAAGGGGGCAGUUUUCCAGUCAUUGGAUGGAAUUGUUGUCUCAGCUAACUGUAAGCUACGGAAGAUCUUCACCUUAAAAUCAAAGCCACAAGACACUGCUGAUAAGGAUGCUGUCUAUGGUGUUCCCUUUUCAACAGAUGAGCCUACAGAUAUUAUACCACGAAGCUGUCAACUAAUGACAGAUGUUCCACAUGUCACACAGCUGCUAAACAUGACUAAACUUCGCCAAACUGAAAUAAAAUUCGGAGGCCAUCCUCUAAGAUCAGCAGAAUCAGAUCAGUUCAUUAACAGAGGAACAAGUAUUACACGGAACAGUAAAAAUCAAGAUGUUUGUCAUAUCGCAUUUGGAUCCAAAGUUCUUGGGCCACCUCCACUCUCUGGCAGAAGGAAUAACAUGAAGAUAUCCAGCGAGACAGUGAGAUCCGUUGGGUCCAAAAAUAACCGAUCAUGCCAGCCGUCCACUGUAGAGAAGUGUGUUAAUGGUACAGAAAUGUCAGCCUUGCUGAUACCUGAGUCUGAGGAACAAGGAAAUAAAGAAAAUAUUCACCAAAUAAAGCAGACUGUACCUAUUCAUGCAGCCAAUCUACAUAUUAUGCAUCCGCAUCCCCCUCAAGAACCAUCAGCAGAUAAGAAUAAUAACAGAAGAAGAUUACGGUUAAAAAGUACCAGCAGAGAAAGGACAGAGACACCCAGCGGUAGCUCUUCAGGAAAUAAUAGGAUUGAAGAUAAAGCAUCAACUAUCCUCACCACUGUGUCCCAACAAGGAGCAGAGCUGUUGAACUCCGGCACUCUAGGACCCCAGUCUCCUGAUCAAUCAGAUGAGUGGAUUUUUCCUGAAAAUGCUGAUCACAUUUCAUAUCUGGCAUCCAGCAGACAGUCUCUACUUCUGGGUGAUGACUCCUGCAACCCAUCACACCUGUGGCUGGAAGCCAGCAAAGAGAGUGAACACGACCAGCAGGCAGAGGAAUCCCAGAGUGUUCCAAAGGACAUUUUCACUUUUUCAUCAAGACCACGAUCAGCACCUCAUGGAAAGACUCAGACUAUGUCCCCAGAGGAGCUCUCAUUUAUUUUGGAUCUAAAAGAGGAUAACAGUGUGACAAGCAGAGACACCCAAUCAGAGGAUGAUUUUUACGGCGGCGACAGCAGUGAAGAGGGUAACCACAGUAUCCAGGGUUCUCGAGGCCCAACAACUGGUCCUUCAGAGUUAACUCAGUUAACAUUAGAGAGCCUGCUGGGGAAGGCUGCAAAGCGGACAAGUAAGGAAUAUCUAAGGAGCGCCUACACAGAAGCAGGAGCAACAGAAAGCCAGGAUUCCUCGAUGGAGCAAAUAGAUAGAAAUAACUUUGAAAUGAGUUUGUUGCCUACAACAUGCCUUUCUCCAACUGGAAGAAGGUGUGGGUCCUGUCAGAAAACUCCAGAGCCCGUAAUCAAAGCGAAGGAUCUAUCAGCCCAGCAAGUGCCAGCUUCACUAAACAAAACCUCCCUGAAAGAAAUCUCAGGGGAAAGGCUGAGCUCGAUCCCCGAAGCAUCUGAAUAUGACUGGCGAAACUAUCAGCCAAGCCAGAUGAGUGAAUCCGAGUUACAGAUGCUAGCAAGCCUACGGUGGCAACAAAAUGAAGAACUGGAGGAUGCUGGGACCUCCCAUGGCCUGAGUGCCUCCCAGGUGGACAACUGUAAUGUCAGCAUAAGUACCAGCAGUGACGACACAACCACCUGGAACUCCUGCCUGCCACCCCCUGUCAACCAGGGUCGCCACUAUCAGAAAGAAAUGAACCCACCUUCUCCUUCUAAUCCCCGGGACUGGUUAAAUAUGUUGAGCCCACCAAUCGUUCCUCCCAGUCAACAGCCGGCUGAGCAGCGUCCAGAUUCCUGUGAAAGUUUGAGUGUUCAAGGAUGAUUUAAUCCCAGAAAGCUGGAGAGCUUGGAGACAUCCAAGAUGCUGACAAAUGGACCACCGAAGAAAAAGCACUUAGCACAUGCACAUGCUCACCAAAAUGCAAUACCAUGCUAUGGUCGCUCAUUCUGUCCACAAAGAUUGCAGCUUUCUAUGCACUCUAACUGCAUUCUGCCACCUGCACCCUGUGGCCCACUUGAAAUGAAGUUUGACUACAUGACCUGCUUCUUUAGCCAAUAAAAUGUGAGCAGAAGUGAUGCACUUCCAGGUGACAGAUUUAAGAACUGGCAUACUUUGCCACUUGAUUUUUUUCCACUCUACAUAGCAACUGUAAUGUUCAAGAUGCUGGCUUCUCCAUCAGCCUGCAUCCCAGAACGGGGAAAACAAAGUGGCCCUGGGAAAAAGAUGAAAACACAACUUUUCUAUCAAGCCCAAUAGAUUGAAGUCAAGAGAGAGCAACGCACGUCUUGAAAAGAACUGAGUGGGCUGGGCGCGGUGGCUCACGCUUGUAAUCUCAGCACUUUGGGAGGCCGAGGCGGGUGGAUCACCUGAGGUCCGGAGUUUGAGACCAGCCUGACCAACAUGGUGAAACCCCGUCUCUACUGAAAAAAUACAAAAAUUAGCUUGGCAUGGUGGCGUGCGCCUGUAGUCGCAGCUACUCGGGAGGCUGAGGCAGGAGAAUGGCGUGAACCCAGGAGGCGGAGCUUCCAGUGAGCCGAGAUUGCGCCACUGCACUCCAGCCUGGGCAACACAGCGAAACUCCGUCUCAAAAAAAAAGAAAAGAAAAGAACUGAGUGUAACUGUGGGCACAUGAAGCUGAUCAGAAUUAAAUAGAUAAGAAGCCAAUUAAGUUUUUGAGAGAGUUGUAUAGCCAGAGAAAUCAGGAGCCUGAACUAGAAAUAUUUACAACUGUUCAAAAUUUAAAGCUACCCUGGGCCCUCCCCCUUUCCCCAGGCAGGAGGCAGGCUGAGAAAGCUGUUCUGCCCCCAAGGAGGACAUAUUCUUCAAUGCUCACUUUAGAUGUGGGCAAGGAAAGGUAAAGGAAAAUUUGCAGAAGAAAGAACCAAAUGGACUGAGGAGCAACAGAAUGAGAACACUGUAGGAUAGCACUUCCUGGCCCCCUAUGGGAGGUGGAGCCAAGUCAUCUCUUCUAAUGGUGUGAGUGGAAGUGAUGGGUCCUUCUCAUCUUUUCUGAUGGUGUGAGUGGAAGUGAUGGGUCAUUCUCAUCUGUUCUGAUGGUGUGAGUGGAAGGGAUGGGUCGCUCUCAUCUCUUCUGAUGGCGUGAGUGGAAGGGAUGGGUCGCUCUCAUCUCUUCUGAUGGCGCGAGUGGAAGUAAUGGGUCAUUCUUGUCUCUUCUGAUGGUGUGAGUGGAAGUGAUGGGUCCUUCUCAUCUCUUCUGAUGGCGUGAGUGGAAGUGAUGGGUCAUUCUUGUCUCUUCUGAUGGUGUCAGUGGAAGUAUUGGGUUGUUCUCAUCUCUUCUGAUGGUGUGAAGGGAAGUGAUGGGUCCUUCUCAUCUCUUCUGAUGGUGUGAGUGCAAGUGAUGGGUCCUUCUCAUCUCUUCUGAUGGUGUGAGUGGAAGUAAUAGGUCAUUCUCAUCUCUUCUGAUGGUGUGAGUGGAAGGGAUGGGUCACUUUCAUUUAUUCUGAUGGUGUGAGUGGAAGAGAUGGGUCACUUUCAUCUAUUCUGAUGGUGUGAGUGGAAGGGAUGGGUUGCUUUCCUGCUGAGUGUGUUUCUUACUUUCCAGUGAGAGGUCCUGCAGAACACUUUAUUCCUUCUGGCUUAAAGACUUUAUCAUUCUGCCAGACUGGAUCCUUGAGAGCCUAUGAUAAGUAGAGUGCCCCUGCCAGCCCAUGACAGCAUGCUGUGUGGACAAGAAACAAACUUUCAUUGUAUUCAGCUUAGAUUUGAGGGUCGUAUGCUUCUGCAUUACCUACUUAUCACUGAUACACCAUUGGAGCAAAAAAUCCCAUCUAUGAAGAAACUCCAAUGAUUUACCCUAUAUAGUUCUUUCUCUGAAUAUGUCGUAUGCCUUACCUAGUGAAUCCUGGGGCUAAAAUGGUAUUGAAAUGGUCAGAUCCAAUCCUGAGCCCCUAGUCUUAUGAACUAGGCCUCCUCUAACAGGCAGUGCUAAGCUUCCAUCAUUCCCAGACAGUGGCCCAAGAUGAAAGAAGACUUCUCUUUCCCAGCUUAGCUUGAAUCACAAAGCAAUCCAUUUGUUUUGGCCAAGGGGAUGUGCUACUCUUUUAACUCAGGGUCGCAGGCUUUAGGGUGCACGCGAUGGAAAAGAACUCACUUGUAACUGUUGCACCUUGAGUUCUUCUUGUUCCAAAAAGCUCCAGAAAGAAGCUCAGCCCCAAAAAAAUAAAAACCAGAUGGAUCCAGAGAUGCCUGAGUUGGAGAUGAACUUUGGUGAACUCUCCUCAUUACCAUACUAAAAAUCCAGUCCAGAGAGGAGUUUAUUUGCCAUUUUCUACACAUGCAAUGUAUGAAGAAGCACGAUGGGUGACUGCACCUGUGUGUGUUGCCUUUACUCCACCUCCACACACAAUGACUCAGCCAACCAGCUCAAAAAAAGCCCUGUUUCACCUUUGUUUGUGGAGGCACUGCUUUGGGGAACUGUCGUGGGUGUCCUUACUUCUUGCAAGUAAUAAAAUCCCCUUGCUAAAUCCUCCUUGAUUGUGGUCAUGCGACUGACACCUGUCAGGUGAUUGAACCACCCGUCGUGUUGGUUACAGUCAGACUGUUACUGACCCAGUGACUAGUCACUGUGAUAGCGAGGAGGUGGGACAUGAUCCAUUGCCAGCAGAAGCAGGGGGAAAGGGUGCUGGGAAAAACCAAACCAUAGCCACAACAACCGGCAACCCAGAAACAGUCCAAAGAGCUCCACUUCAGAUCACUCCUUACCUUCUUUACUUCCCAAGGACACCAGGAUAGUAUGGGCUGUGGCCAGAGCUCUCCACUGAUGACAGCUCACAGAAGCUGAGAGGAAGUUAAUGACUCUCAAAACAGCUAAGGAACUUUCACUGAUCUGCCUUCCUUGCACAUAAAGGACAUGGUAGAAAGAAAAGUCUGUCUUUGUGUCUGAUAAAAAUAUAGAUAACUUUGUUUCAAACUUGAAGUGAUAAUUCUUGAAGGCAAUUAUUGGGACUUCGAAGAAUACUGCUACAUACCAAGCUAUUAUUGCCAUAAUUGUCAUUAAUAUCAACAUAACCCAAAUGUUUACUGGUUCGGUGGUCCCCUCCAAAGUAAUAAUAGCAGAACCUCUGCUCCCCUACCUCCAUCAAAGUGUUGCUCAGCUCUUUCUGGGACUCCCCUGGCAAUGCUCCACUAAUCUGUUUGUUGGCUGCUUCCUGGGGCUGACUUCCAGAUCCCAACUGCUGCUGUGUUGGGGACCAGCCUCAACACCACCCACCCGUAGGGUACCCGAAGUCCGGUGGCGACAAAGGAUUGAGAAGAGACAGGUUAAGAGUUCAUAAAGGUGGGAGCCAGGGGGCCAGUUGCAAAAUGGAGGCUGCAAAAGGCGCCGAGCUCUGGUCUCCAUGCUAUAUAUUCAGUACAAUCACUUAGAUCUAAGAAGCAGAUGUUCCGGGCGAAACAGUGAAAGGGUGGCAGUGCGUCAUAGGCGUAAUCUGUAGCAAGAGUGAUUUAAACGAAUCUCCUUUGUGCUCAAACAGCAUAUCUUUAACUUAUCGGAGAGUAGCUAGUGGGAGCGGGCUUAAAUAGGAGCCCACACGUCUGUCCACAUUCCAGUGCUUCAAAGGAGUGCCUUUCUCCUUGAACACAGUGUUUACAGAUAAGAGAGAGGGUCUCGCUCUAAGCAUGGGAACAUGAGGGCUAUUAGGAGGCUUUCCUCCUCAGAGACCUCUUGUGGCUUUCCACAACUUAUUGUCCCAUAUUUUUAUGGCCAGUUUAUACAGGCACCCCACAAGCCCUUUUCCCAACACUGCUGCUCCCAAGAUUUUAGUCACCUUGCACGUCUCUUCCCCAUGGUGAUUUUCCAGUUUGCCUUCACCACCUUUGUGGUGUUAGAGGCCUCCCAUCCUCCAGCCAGCCCCAGCAGGGAAAAGGAAGAACCUGCUUGACCCCCACAAACCAACUUGAGAAUUCCCCAGGCCCCUCCACAGCAUGGAGCACCCUCCUUUCAAAGGGAUUAAACCUCAGCAUCCUGGAAUGAAGGAUUUGUAUCUAUGUUACUUCCCCAAGAACAGAGACCAGCGAAUGAAUGUUUGUCCUCUAUCCACGUGAGACAGGCUAGAACAACAAAAAAUGUGCGCCUAAGGCACCUACCUCUUCUGUCAGAAUUCACGGGCAUAUAUUUAACCAUGGUUGUCCUUUCCCAUAAAAAAACAUUUUUUAUUAAACCCUAUGCCACUCACUCAGUCACCUUAAAUAUAAUGAAAACAGUGGUCAUUGAAUAUGCCACAUGCCAGGCAUUACUUGCAUUAUUUAAUCCUCUUACUAGCCCUAAGGGGAAGGUUACUACUUACACCCCACCUGACAAAGGCAAAAACUUGGUACCAGAAAGAGAAUGGGAUCUGCCAAAGGUCAUCAAGCUAAUGAGGAGCAGAGACCUGCCUGUCACCACAAUCUGCUCCUAACCACCACUCACAUUCAUCCAGAAGCAAAGAGAAUCAUAUAAUAAAUUGCUGCUUAUUGAUGCUCCCCACCUUCGUUUCCAAUGAAGGUACAAGAAUCCUUCUUGUUUUCAAACUCAGAAAAGUUCCCAAGAAAGGAAGAAAAUGUUCUUGUAAAGAGAGAAUAUAAAUACCAUCUUAUGUGUUCUUUCAUCUUACUGUUGCGCAACUAGUAAAAUUGUUGAAAGUGAAGUGGUAUUUACAUUACAUGACUUAAGCUUUUCCAUUAAAAAGUAUAAUAUUGGA
Homo sapiens (human) is the source of this 7608-nucleotide RNA transcript. It is a transcript of the gene named CFAP20 domain containing, with no coding region annotated. The record is from RefSeq and is marked validated. The transcript is spliced from 18 exons. NCBI's taxonomy places the organism in Eukaryota, Metazoa, Chordata, Mammalia, Primates, Hominidae.